This 24-nucleotide non-coding RNA is filed under the name Arabidopsis thaliana (thale cress). Lineage: Eukaryota; Viridiplantae; Streptophyta; Magnoliopsida; Brassicales; Brassicaceae. RNAcentral also lists the same sequence under 5 other names. The record is from RNAcentral.
UACGUCCCUGCCCUUUGUACACAC